This 329-nucleotide ribosomal RNA is filed under the name uncultured eukaryote. RNAcentral's name for it is "partial 18S ribosomal RNA". It matches the Rfam family "Eukaryotic small subunit ribosomal RNA", at positions 1470 to 1796 of the family's 1831-position model. The record is from RNAcentral.
CCCUUAGAUAUUCUGGGCCGCACGCGCGCUACACUGAUGCAUUCAACGAGUCUAAAACCUGCUCUGAUAGGGGUGGGUAAUCUUUUGAAUGUGCAUCGUGAUUGGGAUAGAUGAUUGCAAUUUUUCAUCUUCAACGAGGAAUGCCUAGUAAACGCAAGUCAUCAGCUUGCAUUGAUUACGUCCCUGCCCUUUGUACACACCGCCCGUCGCUCCUACCGAUUGAAUGAUCCGAUGAAUAUCAUGGAUUGAGGAUGCAAGUAGGUUCGCCUAUCUUCAUCUUCGAGAAGUGAAGUAAAUCUUAUCAUUUAGAGGAAGGAGAAGUCGUAACA